AAGCGGUGGAUGAUGUGGAUAAUUCGAUGCAACGCGAAAACCUUACCUACCCUUGACAUGUCUGGAACCUUGCUGAGAGGCGAGGGUGCCUUCGGGAGCCAGAACACAGGUGCUGCAUGGCUGUCGUCAGCUCGUGUCGUGAGAUGUUGGGUUAAGUCCCGCAACGAGCGCAACCCUUGUCACUAGUUGCCAUCAUUGAGUUGGGCACUCUAAUGAGACUGCCGGUGACAAACCGGAGAAGGUGGGGAUGACGUCAAGUCCUCAUGGCCCUUAUGGGUAGGGCUUCACACGUCAUACAAUGGUCGGUACAGAGGGUUGCCAAGCCGCGAGGCGGAGCCAAUCCCACAAAGCCGAUCGUAGUCCGGAUUGUUCUCUGCAACUCGAGAGCAUGAAGUCGGAAUCGCUAGUAAUCGCAGGUCAGCAUACUGCGGUGAAUACGUUCCCGGGUCUU
This 451-nucleotide ribosomal RNA is filed under the name uncultured Thauera sp. RNAcentral describes it as "bacterial SSU rRNA". It matches the Rfam family "Bacterial small subunit ribosomal RNA", at positions 927 to 1382 of the family's 1533-position model. Lineage: Bacteria; Pseudomonadati; Pseudomonadota; Betaproteobacteria; Rhodocyclales; Zoogloeaceae. The record is from RNAcentral.